Molecule: ribosomal RNA, 425 nt
Filed under: uncultured bacterium
Lineage: Bacteria
Description: partial 16S ribosomal RNA
Rfam family: Bacterial small subunit ribosomal RNA
Source: RNAcentral
GUGGGGAAUCUUGCGCAAUGGGCGAAAGCCUGACGCAGCCAUGCCGCGUGAAUGAUGAAGGUCUUAGGAUUGUAAAAUUCUUUCACCGGGGACGAUAAUGACGGUACCCGGAGAAGAAGCCCCGGCUAACUUCGUGCCAGCAGCCGCGGUAAUACGAAGGGGGCUAGCGUUGCUCGGAAUUACUGGGCGGAAAGGGCGCGUAGGCGGAUCGUUAAGUCAGGGGUGAAAUCCCAGAGCUCAACUCUGGAACUGCCCUUGAUACUGGCGAUCUUGAGUGUGAGAGAGGUAUGUGGAACUCCGAGUGUAGAGGUGAAAUUCGUAGAUAUUCGGAAGAACACCAGUGGCGAAGGCGACAUACUGGCUCAUUACUGACGCUGAGGCGCGAAAGCGUGGGGAGCAAACAGGAUUAGAAACCCUUGUAGUCC